Molecule: long non-coding RNA, 788 nt
Organism: Rosa chinensis
Lineage: Eukaryota; Viridiplantae; Streptophyta; Magnoliopsida; Rosales; Rosaceae
Exons: 5
Source: RefSeq, a predicted model, not a curated record
GUGAAGGCCGACAGUAUGCCCAUAUUGUGAAGACCGACAAGCCAAGCUGGAGCUUGAAGUUCUUAAAGAGUUUAGCCUCAUAAUUGUUCUAUGAUCUAAAUGCAUGGGAAUCCUAAUCGGUGAACCUUGCUAAGAUGAUGUAACAGUAACAUUCGGGUGAUGGAAGCUCUUUAAUUUGGACAUGCUAAUGGAUGGAAAAUAUCUUGAUACCUAUAUUGUGAUUCAAACCAUGAGAUGCUAUUUGAACUGUGAUGAUAUUGAUCGUGGUGUGCAAACCCCUGAUGACUAUCUGAAGUUAGGGAAGCUUCCUGCACCAGAACUCAUAACAUAAAUGUGAUAUGGAGUUGUGGAGUUGCUAAGAUGAUGUAUCUCAUAACAUAAAUGUGAUAUGUAGUGAUGUGAAAAUGUUCGUUGGGCUUUGCCGCUAAAUUUGGCUCAGCAAGUGUAGUUGUUCUAGGAUAUCAAGGAGUUCUGACCUCCUUUCUCUCAAAAAAAAGGAUAUCAAGAAGGCACUAUUAAUUAAGACAAUUGCAGAUAAGGUUGCAGCAUAAAAGAGGCAAAGCUUGUAGACAAAAUAUUCCUAGGUUCUGUAUGCAUUAUUAUGUGGUUGCUUGAAGUUGGCAAUUGAUUAUCAUGUUUUACAGUUUUGAUCCUUGGUACCUUAAUUAUUAGUGAAAUGCACUUGUUUCUUUCAUAUGUAGAGAAAUCUGAAGUUGUAAUUGAAUGGUUUCUGGAAUUUUAUAAUUAAAUAUUUUGGAAUGAUUAAUUUUAUGCAUCUUUUUAUCUAA